GAUGAAGAACGUAGCGAAAUGCGAUAAGUAAUGCGAAUUGCAGAAUCCGUGAGUCAUCGAAUCUUUGAACGCACAUUGCGCCCCCUGGCAUUCCGGGGGGCAUGCCUGUCCGAGCGUCAUUUCUGCCCUCAAGCACGGCUUGUGUGUUGGGUGUGGUCCCCCCGGGGACCUGCCCGAAAGGCAGCGGCGACGUCCGUCUGGUCCUCGAGCGUAUGGGGCUCUGUCACUCGCUCGGGAAGGACCUGCGGGGGUUGGUCACCACUAUAUUUUACCACGGUUGACCUCGGAUCAGGUAGGAGUUACCCGCUGAACUUAAGCAUAUCAAUAAGCGGAGGA
This 336-nucleotide unclassified non-coding RNA is filed under the name soil metagenome. RNAcentral describes it as "partial contains 5.8S ribosomal RNA, internal transcribed spacer 2, and large subunit ribosomal RNA". The stretch from base 1 to 119 matches the Rfam family "5.8S ribosomal RNA", at positions 35 to 154 of the family's 154-position model. The record is from RNAcentral.